AUUGAACGCUGGCGGCAGGCCUAACACAUGCAAGUCGAGCGAGCGGCGGACGGGUGAGUAAUGUAUGGGGACUGCCCGAUAGAGGGGGAUAACUACUGGAAACGGUGGCUAAUACCGCAUACUAUCGGAUAACCCAUAUGGGAUUAGCUAGUAGGUGGGGUAAAGGCUCACCUAGGCGACGAUCUCUAGCUGGUCUGAGAGGAUUAUCAGCCACACUGGGACUGAGACACGGCCCCGACUCCUACGGAGGCAUCAGUGGGGAAUAUUGCACAAUGGGCGCAAUCCUGAUGCAGCCAUGCCGCGUGUAUGAAGAAGGCCUGAGGGUUGUAAAGUACUUUCAGCGGGGAGGCGUUACCCGCAGAAGAAGCACCGGCUAACUCCGUGCCAGCAGCCGCGGUAAUUC
Molecule: ribosomal RNA, 403 nt
Filed under: uncultured bacterium
Lineage: Bacteria
Description: partial 16S ribosomal RNA
Rfam family: Bacterial small subunit ribosomal RNA
Source: RNAcentral